RNAcentral lists this ribosomal RNA (508 nucleotides) under uncultured bacterium. RNAcentral describes it as "partial 16S ribosomal RNA". It matches the Rfam family "Bacterial small subunit ribosomal RNA", at positions 28 to 523 of the family's 1533-position model. The record is from RNAcentral.
GAUGAACGCUAGCUACAGGCUUAACACAUGCAAGUCGAGGGGAAACGAUAUUGGAAGCUUGCUUCCGAUAGGCGUCGACCGGCGCACGGGUGAGUAACGCGUAUCCAACCUGCCCACCACUUGCUGAUAACCUUGCGAAAGUAAGACUAAUACCAAAUGAUAUCCCUAGAAGACAUCUGAAGGAUAUUAAAGAUUUAUCGGUGUUGGAUGGGGAUGCAUCUGAUUAGCUUGUUGGGGGGGUAACGGCCCACCAAGGCGACGAUCAGUAGGGGUGCUGAGAGGAAUGUCCCCCACAUUGGAACUGAGACACGGUCCAAACUCGUACGGGAGGCAGCAGUGAGGAAUAUUGGUCAAUGGGCGAGAGCCUGAACCAGCCAAGUAGCGUGCAGGAUGACGGGCCUAUGGGUUGUAAACUGCUUUUAUAAGGGAAUAAAGUGAGCCUCGUGAGGCUUUUUGCAUGUACCUUAUGAAUAAGGACCGGCUAAUUCCGUGCCAGCCGCCGCAGUAA